AUGAGAGGCAUGUUUUGGAAUAGCAGAGGUCUCUCAGACUUGGCUAAACAUAAACACGUCAGUGAUUGUGUCCGGGAACACGGUUUGGAUUUUGUGGCAAUUUCUGAGGCUGGCAAGUGCGACUUUCGCCCACAUGUCCUCGAUCACCUAUCAGGUGGUUUCGACUACGCAUGGCAUAGUCUACCAGCUCGUGGAAGAUCUGGAGGAAUCCUUCUGGGGAUAAUGACAACAACCAUGGACUUGUUGGCUUUUUCGAUCGGUGAAUUUCAUAUAAAAUUUCACCUGCGGAAUAGAGCUGACAACUUUACAUGGACUCUUGUCGCUGUCUAUGGGGCUGCCCAAGAUGAGCAUAAAUCUGCUUUCCUUCGGGAAUUGGUUAACCUGGCUAAGAAUAACCCGUACCCAAUGCUUAUUGGGGGGGACUUUAACAUUCUGAGGUACCAGGAAGAGAAAAAUAAUGACCGCUUUGACACUCAUUGGCCUUUCCUAUUCAAUGCUGUGAUAGACAGUUUGGAUCUUCGGGAGGCCAGUAUGUCGGGGCGUCAGUUCACUUGGGCGAACAACCGAUCUGUGCCGACAUAUGAGAAGCUCGAUAGGGUACUAAUGGAUACCGAAUGGGAACUAAAAUUCCCUCUGGUAACCGUGCGAGCCCUAGAGCGUAUCAAGGCCUUAUCGGAUCAUGCACCCAUCAUUCUGGAUUCUAACUCUACGAACCCAGCCACCCGACGCCCUUUCAAAUUUGAAUUGGGAUGGCUGAAUAGGGACGGAUUCGUAGACAUGAUCAAGAAUGUUUGGGAGAGGCCCGCUGUUGGUCGUACACCUAUUCAACGAUGGAUCUUUAAAAUAAGAGCCAUGAGGCGACACCUCUCUGGAUGGGCAAAACACACCAACGGAAUAUAUAAAAAAGAAAAACAAAGGCUCUGUACCAUCAUUGAUGACCUCGACAAAAUUGCAGAGACGCGCACAUUGUCUCAGCAAGAGAUUGAAUUGAAAAAUCAAUCUAAUGAGAUGGUUGCCCGUCUAUUGCAAGAAGAGGAGAUCAAAUACUACCAGAGAUCCAAAGCUGAUUUCAUUUUAAUGGGUGAUAGUAAUACAAGAUACUUCCAAUUGAUCGCCAAUGGGCGGCAUAGGAAGAAAUGUAUUUACAGUCUCCAACAAGAUGAGGGGAGGAUCGAAGGUCAGGAGGAGCUCAAAAAGUAUAUCACCAAAUACUACAAAUCUCUUUUUGGAGCGCCGACUGAAGGGAAUUUCACCCUUGAUGAAACCCGAAUAGAUGAUAUUCCACAUGUCACAGCAGAUGAAAACGAUAUCCUAACGGCACCAUUCUCAGAAGAGGAGGUACGAGCUGCGGUGUUCCAAAUGGAACAUAACAAAGCUCCAGGCCCUGAUGGCUUCCCCACAGAAUUCUAUCAGAAUUUCUGGGAUAUCAUCAAGUCCGACCUUUUGGAGUUGUUCAAUUGUUUUCAUGCCGACCAACUUGACCUAUUCAGACUUAAUUUUGGCGAGAUUGUCUUGUUGCCGAAGAUUAAGGAGGCCGAACGGAUUCAACAGUUCAGACCCAUAUGCCUCCUUAAUGUCAGCUUCAAGAUUUUCACCAAAGUGGCGACGAAUAGAUUAAACUCGGUAGCUGACCAUGUUGUUCGGCCAUCUCAAACAGCUUUCAUGCAAGGAAGGAACAUACUCGAUGGCGUAGUAAUCCUGCAUGAGACCGUCCAUGAGAUGCACCGGAAAAACAUGAGUGGAGUAGUAUUCAAAAUAGACUUUGAAAAAGCCUAUGACAAGGUCAAAUGGUCUUUCCUCCAACAGGCCCUAAGGAUGAAAGGCUUCUCCGAUAAAUGGUGCAAGUGGAUCCACAAUUUUGUAACUGGAGGUAGUGUGGCCAUCAAAGUCAAUGAUGAUGUCGGCCAUUAUUUUCAGACAAAAAAAGGACUACGACAGGGUGAUGCCAUAUCCCCAAUGUUAUUUAUCAUUGUGGCUGACAUGUUGGCUAUUCUGAUUGAGCGCGCCAAGCAGGACGGGCAAAUUACAGGAGUAGUGCCACAUCUAGUGGAUGGUGGUCUCUCUGUUCUGCAAUAUGCCGAUGACACAAUUCUCUUUAUGGAACAUGACCUAGACAAGGCUAGAAACCUGAAACUUCUGCUGUCAGCGUUUGAGCAAAUGUCGGGUCUUAAGAUUAACUUCCAUAAAAGUGAAUUGUUCUGCUUUGGAGAAGCCGUUGAGGCAGCGGCCGAUUAUGCUGACCUUUUUGGUUGUGCACAUGGACAAUUCCCAAUCAAAUAUUUGGGAAUACCAAUUCACUAUCGGCGUCUCACCAUUGCGGAGUGGAAGCAUGUAGAGGAGCGGCUAGAGAAACGCUUGAGCAGCUGGAAAGGCAAGUUGCUCUCGGUUGGAGGACGACUGGUUUUAAUAAACUCUGUCCUCACAAAUAUGGUUCUCUAUAUGCUUUCAUUCUUCCAGCUCCCAAAAGGGGUCUUGCAAAGACUGGACUAUUUUAGGUCCAGGUUCUUUUGGCAAGGAGAUGGUGAAAAGAAAAAAUAUAGGCUGGCCAAAUGGAGUGUGGUUUGUAGGCCGAAAGACCAGGGCGGCCUCGGUAUUCAUGACCUGCAGGUCAAGAAUGAGGCCCUACUUAGUAAAUGGUUGUUCAAACUUCUUACUGAGGAUGGUGUUUGGCAAACCAUGCUACGCAAUAAGUAUAUAGGCCAAAAGGCGGUGUCUCAGGUAUAUUGGAAAACUGGAGACUCACACUUUUGGGCCGGCCUAAUGGCGGCAAAGAAACAUCUCUUUCGCUUUGGGUCUUUCGCGAUAAAGGACGGGUCGGAGAUUCGUUUUUGGGAAGACAUCUGGCUAGGCAAUGCUAGCCUCCGAGAACAAUACCCAGCCCUAUACAACAUUGCACGCGAUAAGAAUAAUACUAUUGCGCAAGUGCUCAGCUCAUCCCCGCCAAAUAUUUCGUUUAGGCGGGAUUUGAUUGGCACCCGACUUAUGUCAUGGAAUAAUCUAUUGUCCCGUCUGGAUUCGAUUAUCCUGACACAAGGUCGUGAUGUGUUUCGCUGGAACCUUACUACAUCGGGGUCUUUCACAGUAGACUCUAUGUAUCGUGCACUCUCGCAUUCUGAGGUACCGGUGAGAAAUAACAAAAUAAUUUGGAAAGCGAAGGUACCACUUAAAGUCAAAAUAUUCAUGUGGUAUCUCCGUAGGGGAGUUGUGCUAACAAAAGACAACCUCGCAAGACGCAACUGGUCGGGAAGUAAGAAGUGUUGUUUUUGUACUCACGACGAGACAAUUAAACACCUCUUUUUUCACUGUAAGUUUGCGCGUUCUACGUGGUCAGCCAUCCAAAUAGCGUCAAAUUUGUAUCCACCCACAAGUGUUGCCAAUAUUUUUGGUCAUUGGCUGGACGGUAUUUCAAAUAGGUACAAAACGCUAAUAAGGGUGGGAGCGUAUGCCUUACUAUGGUCGCUUUGGCUAUGUAGAAAUGAUGUUGUUUUUAAUGACAAAACUGUUUUGCCUUUG
RNAcentral lists this ribosomal RNA (3513 nucleotides) under Triticum aestivum (bread wheat). Its description in RNAcentral is "partial small subunit ribosomal RNA". Lineage: Eukaryota; Viridiplantae; Streptophyta; Magnoliopsida; Poales; Poaceae. The record is from RNAcentral.